Molecule: RNA transcript, 5579 nt
Organism: Vitis vinifera (wine grape)
Lineage: Eukaryota; Viridiplantae; Streptophyta; Magnoliopsida; Vitales; Vitaceae
Exons: 9
Source: RefSeq, a predicted model, not a curated record
UAAAUUCAAUAGCUUAAGCUCUUUUGGGAGAUAAAAGAUUUAAUAAUAUUUUUUUCUUAAAAAGUUAGGAUUUUUACUUUUUGUUUUUCUUUAUUCUUCAAUCUUGUUUUACAGAGGAUGCAAAAUGUUGAAACCAUUUCUCUAGACUUGUCUAGAUCAAAAGAAAUAUGGUUCACUACAAACAUAUUUGCUAAGAUGAAGAAAGUGUUUGUCAAGAUGAAGAACCUUAGGUUUCUCAAAGUCUAUUCUAGUCAUGGUGAUGAGUACAAAAUGCUUCUUCCUAAAGGCUUUGAAUUUCCUCCUAAUUUAAACUAUCUUCAUUGGGAUGGUUUAGAGUCUUUGCCUUCGAAUUUUUAUGGAGAGAAGCUUGUUGCAAUUAUCUUGAAGUCUAGCAACAUAAAAACACUUUUGAAAGGGGACAAGGUAUGAUCAUUAUUUAAUUUCUUUUUUUUUUAUGCUAAUUUUCAAGUUCUUGGAAGGUUUUUAUUAAAAAAAUGUCUUUUACUAUAGUGCUUUGCAGAAUUGAAAUUCAUUAAUCUAAGUAAGUCGCAACAGCUCAUCAAAAUACCAGAAUUCUCAAGGAUGCCAAAAUUGGAGAAACUUAAUCUUCACGGUUGUGUAAGCUUCAGCAAACUUCAUUCAUCUAUUGGCACAUUUUCUCAGAUGAAAUUUUUGAGGGUGCUUAAUUUUAGUGAGAGUGGAAUUAGAGAACUCCCAAGCAGCAUUGGGUCCUUGAUAUAUCUUGAAACUCUUAAUCUCUCAAAGUGUUCAAAGUUUGAGAAAUUCCCUGAUAUUUUCUUUGUGAAUAUGAGACAUUUAAAGAUGCUUCGAUUAUCUGAUAGUGGUAUUAAAGAACUCCCAACCAGCAUUGAGUGCUUAGAGGCUCUUGAAAUUUUGUUACUCGAUAAUUGCUCAAAUUUUGAGAAGUUCCCUGAGAUCCAAAAGAAUAUGGAAAAUCUGUCUUAUCUUGCUCUAGAAAAUACUGCUAUUAAAGAAUUAUCCUGCUGGACAAGUCAUCUUACCCGACUUACAGAAUUAAGUUUGAGAGGAUGCAAAAAUUUGAGGAGUCUUCCAAGCAGCAUUUGUCAGUUGAAAUUCUUGAGAUACUGCCAUCUCGAUGGUUGUUCAAAUCUAGAGAUUUUUUCGGAGAUCACGGAAGAUUUGGAACAUUUAAGAUACCUUAAUUUACGUCAAUUGGCUAUAACAGAGCUACCAUCAUCAAUUGAACGUCUAAAACGUCUUACACGCUUGGAAUUGAGCAAUUGUGAUAAACUUGAGACUCUUCCAAACAGCAUUGGUAAUUUGACGUGUCUUCAUGCUCUUCUUGUUCGUAACUGUCGAAAGCUCCACAAAUUGCCCGACAGUCUGAGAAGCCUACAUCGUUGCUUAAAAGAACUAGAUGUAGGUGGUUGCAAUUUGAUGGAAGGAGCAAUCCCUAGUGAUUUAUGGUGCUUGUUCUCAUUGGAAUCGUUAAAUGUGAGUGAAAACAAUAUUCGUUGCAUACCUGUUGGCAUCAUUCAACUUUCUCAGCUGGAUAUCCUUCGCAUGAAUCAUUGUCCGAUGCUUGAAGAAAUUCCAGAGCUUCAAUCAAGUUUAAGAUGGAUAGGAGCACAUGGUUGUCCAUGCCUGGAAACUUUAUCAAGUGAUCCAAUGCAUCCACUCUGGUCCUCUCUUCUCAACUGCUUCAAAUCACAAAUUCAGGAUUUUGAAUGCCCAACACGCUCAAAGUACUACUGUGAAACUAGAGUUGUCAUUCCAGGAAGUAGAGGAAUACCAGAGUGGAUAAGUCAUAAGAGUAUGGGAAGUGAAAUAACAAUAGAUCUCCCAAAGAAUUGGUACGAAGAUAACAACUUCUUGGGAUUUGCUUUAUUCAACCAUCAUGUUCCACUCGAUUAUGAUCAUGAUUUACUUAAUCCAACAUUGGAUUUGUUGAUGUCCCAUGGAAAUCGGUUUGAAUACAUGCAUCGCAUAUGGUUUAGUCCAGAAGGUAAAAAAUGCUUUACUAAUGGUGUUUCAAUUUGGCCUUGGGGCUUUGAGAAGGAUUGCACAUCAUGUCCAGAUCCAGAAUUGAUGGUGGCCUAUUUCCCUCAGAUUGCCAUUUCAAGUAAGUAUCGAUCCAAUAGGUGGAACAACUUCAAGGCUAGGUUUUACGGCCCUUAUGGGCGUGGCGCCCAAGUGGAAAGUUGUGGGAUCCAUCUCAUAUAUAACAAAGCCCAAGAUCAUUCUCAACAGACCCUUCAACUAUUCAAUGUCAAAAGAAGCCAUGAUGAUAUAGAGGAUCACCCACAUGUCUAGUUUCCAGCUCCCUCCGCCAAGGCUUUCAGCUAAGCUCUCCUCUCUCCCAUCAACUUUGGUUUCGGUCUCUCCUCUCACCGUUGGCGAAUCACAAACCUCACCGGCGCAACGGGCAAUGAAAUAUUCCUAUUGCCGAAAACGCUGAUCGGUCGGAGAUUAAAGCCCUAGAUCAACCAGAAUCUCACUGAAGAACCCUACCGAAAAAAGAGCAUCCUUGAGACUGCGAAAACAAGUUCGAGAAGACAUUUUGUUUAGAUGUUCUUCCUUAGCUUGAUUGAGCACACACUGCAAUUGCGGCCUCAUCUUCUGGACCUUCCCCUCGAUGAAGCCGUCAAAGGAGAGUUUGAAAGUCUCUUCUUAGACAAGCCAAAAUUGAUUAUUUUGAGCGGCUUCGCCCAGAAGAACUGUAUCAACAAAAUAUAGAAGCCUUAGUUGCUGAGAACAAUCUGCGUGUAGAUCUGGAAGGACGGAUUCGAGUUCUGAGAAUGAUUUCCGAAGCCAUAGAAAGUUUCCAAUGAAUGGAACUGUAAUGGGUCCCGGAGGGAGCCUGUUUUUUGGGAAGACAAGAUCAUAGAGAGCCUUGAGAAGAGCCGCAACACAGAGGGAGACGAUGAUGAAGAACCACUUCUCCAUAUCCUAAAAUCAGAAUGGUCUUCUGCAGAGGAGCGGGUCAAGGAAAGGUCAGUGCACUCCAAGGAAACCCCACAGUUCAUGUCAGGUGCUCAGUCAUUGGAGAAUAUCACAAGUAAAGGUACUGCAGAAACUGGAAGUGCAGUUUCCUUUAGUGAUGAUGAAGACCUCAGCCAGUUAUCUGGGUCAAAAUCUACCACUAAGGGCAGAAGUAGUUCAUCAGCAACUUUUAAGUACUCCCAUGAUGCUUCUGAACAUGGUAAAGAUGUACAGUUGAGGGAAAUGUCAUCCUUUGCAUUGGGGAGAUUGGCAUAGGUUAUACUCCUAGAAUUCUUUUAUUUCCUUUUCAAAUUACAAGUGACAAAUAAUAUUGAUGGCAUGAAAUGCUUACUAUAUUAUAUCAAUGAGUAGUCUGUUUCUUUCAAGUUAUCUUUACAGGAUUUAUCACAACAAGUAGUUUUGUUUUAAAGUGAUUUCAAACACAAUAUAUUUCUGAAUUUUAUUUUAUCUGCUUCCUAUUCCUGUUUACUCUUCCUUUUGAGGUAUACACCAUUUGUCUCAACUUAAAACAUGCACUUCCAUUGAUAUACAGUAGUUUGGUUCAUUGCAGUUGGUCCAUUGAUAUAAAGUGUACCACCUUGCUGUAAAUCCAGGCAACCAUCAAAAUUUUUAGCCGUGAAAUGAAAAUUUUGUAUAUGCUGUUCCAUUUAUGAUGGAUAAUUGCAUCCUUACACCUUAUAGUUUUGGUUCAUUUAUAACAUAAAACUUGGGUAUGGUCAAUGGACUCACUUCAUGAAUUUUGGUAAUGCCCAAGCUCAAGCUCGAGUUUCAAGUCAAUUAUAUAGAGACUGAAAAAGAACACUACUGCUUAAACCUUAAAUUUGAGCUACGAAAAGCGUGGGCUUUAAUUUUUGUUACAUUGUAGACACUGAUCAAAUGACUGCCUAAAACUUGGUAUUCUAUUUCCAAUGAAAAGAGACAAAAAGAGCACUACCAUGCUGGAGCUUACUUUUUCUUUAAAACUGGACUCACACAUAAGCUGCUUUUUUUCACCCAAAAUUCUGCAUAUUUAAUUAUCUUGCAACAAGGCCAGAAUUUAUAAAGUAAUUCCAACCUUGCUUGUUUUUCCUUGUUCAUCUUCUCACAUUUUCAUUUUCGACCAAAAUAGCUAGAGAGAUGAUUAUUUUCUUUGAUUGCUUUCUCUUAUAUCAGGUUCCAAAUAGUAUCAAAAACCUUCUAGGCUUGCAAAUACUUCUCUAAAAUCUAAUUUAUAGCACUAUUGCUGACUUUGCUUUUGAACUAUUCUUUCCCCUUCAUUUUCCAAUACUAUAUAUUCUCUCUCUUUUUUUUUUCUUUUUUUUUUUUUCCCCUUUUUGAUAAGAACAAAACAACUUCUUCACCAUAUGAGCCAACUGAUGUACCAUUUUCUUUCAAAAAUGGUUCCCUUAACAGCCAUGCAAAUUUUCUGCGUAAAAUAGACCAUUUUCUUCAAUAUUGAUUAGAAAGGUGAACUCCGGUGAAGUUUACAUGUAAGGUGUGAUCAUAUUAUGAACUAAUUUUCCUUUAUCUUUAUAUGCUAUCUUCUUAUUGGCCUUCACUUUUAACUUCUGUUUAUCUUUUUUUUCUUCUGGAUUACCCCCAAAAAUCUGCCAACCUGCCUACAAAAGAAAAGAAUUGUUUAGUGGAGCAAUUGUGUGAAGUUCUAUAUUUGCUAAUAAGUUUACUUCUUGUUCUUGUUCUGACUAGGUAAAAAGGGAAAAAGAAGAAAAACAAUUACUGAGGCAGUUUUUUGUGGAGAUUGUGGGCAAUUGCCUCACUCUAGAAUGAUUGAUUUGCUUCCUGGCUUCUUGCAAAAUUGCAUUUCCUCUUUUGGUAAAUUGCAAAAUUGCAAAAUAUGAUGAAUUAAUUCAGCAUAUUUGGUUGACUGAUUUGGUAAACCUUGCACUGGCCUAAUUUAUGUUCUCUAUUUGAAAACUAAGAAAGUGUCAAGAACUGGUAUCAAACCCCUAUUUCUUAUCCCUUCUCAACUGAGACAAGUAUCAAUUUACUGGUGACCCUGUUCUUGAGACACUGGUGAAGGUACAUCAUGAAGCAUUUCCCAUAGUCACUCAUUAGAAUUGUAGUUCUGUUUCUGAAUUGAGAAAUGUGUUUGCGAAAUACCCCAGUUUGCCUUAUUUUUCUGGCUGUGUUGCCCAGAAUAUCACAAAUGAAUGGGCUAAAGGAGUGUUUAGUGAUGCCGAAAAACAAUAACACAUCAUACAUAUGUUAUUGUUUCUUCUUUUUCUUCUUCUUCUUCCUAUUUUCUCUGGUUUUUAUUUUUUCUUUAAGAUUUUAGAUUCUUACAGGUGCAUAUUGCAUAGAGAGGUGUUGGUGCAACCUUUGAUUGAGAUGCUUCAUUAUGCAGAUGUACAGUUGAGGGAAAUGUCAUCCUUUGCAUUGGGGAGAUUGGCAUAGGUUAUACUCCUAGAAUUCUUUUAUUUCCUUUUCAAAUUACAAUUGAUGGCAUGAAAUGCUUACUAUAUUAUAUCAAUAAGUAGUCUGUUUCUUUCAAGUAAUCUUUACAGGAUUCAUCACAACAAGUAGUUUUGUUUUAGAGUGAUUUCAAACACAAUAUAUUUCUGAAUAUUAUUUUACCUGCUUCCUAUUCCCGUUUA